This is a long non-coding RNA of Haemorhous mexicanus (house finch), 5455 nucleotides long. RefSeq lists it as uncharacterized. The transcript is spliced from 4 exons. Lineage: Eukaryota; Metazoa; Chordata; Aves; Passeriformes; Fringillidae. The record is from RefSeq and is a predicted model, not a curated record.
GAGAGCAGCCCCGCGUUGUAGUCCAGCACGAACCAGCGGUACUGCCAGCCCUUCAUCACAUUGGUCCAUUUGCUCAGCGGGCCCUCCAUGAUAGACGCCAUCUUAGCACCGGACCGGCACCGCCGCGCACACCGCGCGUUCGAGAAACGUUGCCUCCAUUUUAUUUUUUACGGGUAACAAAUGCAGUAAUAAACUACAAUCAAGUAGAAGAUGGAGCAUUCUGUGUCAUCCUCAGUCUCCAGCUACUGGCCUUUACAGAAUUACGUUUGGUUUAGGGGAUUACAGAGAGAAAGAUAGAUGGGAGAGAAUCACCUUCACCCUACAAGCAGUCGUUCUUCAAAGAGGACAAUUAAAUCAAGUAUGACAGUAAGUGCCAUUUUUUCAGGGGAACACUUUACUUCCCUCUCAUGAUCACUGCAGAACUUCUCUGGCUGUUGAAUCUCAUGCUGGCUGGAGAUGGAGGAGAUUUCUUUGCAAGCACUAGAGACUGACAUAAGAACAUCUGCUCUUCAUGAAGUUCUCUGAACCUGUGGACUUGGAUAGCAGUUGUGCAGUUGUGUAUGAGAAGAAAAUUUGGCUCACAUAGUCUAAUGAUGGAAAGAAUGGUAAAUCCAGAACUAACCCGGGGAUUUCAGGGCUAAUGCAGUUUUGUCACAGGUUCUCUUUCUAGAUAAAUAGAUUUCUUUUUUACAGGUUCUCACAUUGAGCAAACUCCCAGAUUGCAUUAUUAGCAAAGUUUGAGUCCUCUGGCAAUGAGGAUCAGACUUUAGUAUAGUUUAUAAUAAAUUGUGAACAGAACAUUGACCAAAUGUAGAUAUAUUGUAUUGUUUGGGCAGAUCUUAUUCGAUGUACAUGAAGAGUCUUAAUUAUGAGAUUAGAUUGAGCUUGGAAAUAUUUCUUCUUGGUUCAAGUAGCUCACAUAGUUCAUUUAAUCAAAUAACUACAUGUGUGCAAUUAAAUGUGCAACAUCUAAAAUUUGAGGCGUUUUACUUUUUGUGAUAUAUUUAAUCUGCUCAUCUGCUAAAAAAUAGAUCUUCAUAUUGCAUUGCCUAUUCAAGUAUUAAAUUCUAUUACUUUUUAAAUUAGUAAUCCCCAAAGAGCUACAGGAAUUUAUGAACAUUAUUCCAUCAAGGUUAAAAAAUUGAGUUACCUGAAAGAAGAAGAAGUCUAAUUAAAUUUUUUUCCUUGUUGAAUCCUGUUAAGUGCUUUCCUCAUAUGAGAAAUUUGUGAAGUUAUUGCAAAACUGUAAGGGCAGGGUUCAGAACUGCAGAUAUAUAUAAAAGUCAGCUGUGUGAUAAUGGUAAAGAGAGACAGAGACAGAUUCUGUGCUGGUUUUAGAAUCUGCCAAGGACGUGGGUGCUAUAUUUUGGGCAAGAGAAUUCUUUAAGCCUAAUGCCAUCUGGCUGGCUUUCAUCUGUGCCAGUUGUUCCACAUGCCAAGCUGCCUGUCCUGCCCCUACCAUGCUUCUUGAAGUAGAAAUUAAAUUAAAAAUACAGUAAUUUCUAGUAGCCUGAUUGGAAAAAUAUCCAUGAAGGGAUUUAGAAACCCAAGGAAGCAAUCCAAGCUUCUGUGCUUCUGUCAGAGACUUUGAUCAGAAGUUUCUUCUUCCAUGUUUUGAAGCAAUCUUUGGAUGCUUUUCCCCUUUCAAGCCUCGCUGGCAGCAAAAGUCCUGGCUGUAGGAUCUGCUUCAAUUUGUUGUCCAAGGUGCAUGAUAAAUACAGUUAAAACACACAUAAAACCUCCACACACUCCCACCUAAGAUCUUCUGUUCCAUUCUUUUAAUUAGUAACUAUAUACCUGUAUUUAGAAAUACAACAAUACAGGUUUUCCUCACCUUGAUCUCUACGAGGUACCUGCAUGGUUUGUAUUUCUGGGCUGGCAGUUGUGGAUCUAGCACAACAUGGAUCUGUUCUGCAGUCCUCUGUAGGAGACCCACAGUUAAUUUUUAGCCUGGGAUUUAUUCCCUACUAAGAAAAAUUGGAGUUGAGCUAAAUUAAGCAACUCAUCUAUAAAUUCACUUUGCAGUUAACUAAAUAGCUCUACUGAUGAUUUUGGAGUGUUUUUUCUCAUGCUCAUCUGUAUAUAUGUAAUUUACCACCAUUAAUCUAUCACAAGGAAAGGAGAGAGAAAUUCAUUAAAUCAUUUUGUACAGAUAUUUCUAUAAGGAAAAACAUUACAGUAAACUUGAUUUCAACAGGAACAAACUCUUCACUAAACAUAAAGAGACAGACAAUCAAGAAUGUGUCAGUUUUUGGAUGGAAUUUGAAUGUCUUUUGAAUCGUGGAGAUUCUUUCAGGAAGAAUACAUCUUCUGUUUCUGCAAAACUCAUCCAGCUAUCUGACCUUACCUGCUUUAUAUGGCUUCUGCCUCUGUUUUAUUCCUAAAACCUUGAUACUUUUCUCCUUUGGACCUCAGUAUUCUUUGUGUCAGUUUUAUACCUGAUAUAUAUUUGUCUUUUGAGCACUUUGGGGAGGGGAAGGUUGUCCUUCUAGAGAAGGUCAAAUUUGUUUGUCAUUGAACUGAUUCAACAAAUUAAAUUGAUAUGGGGAUCUGAAAAAUCUUGGUGGUUUGAUGCUUAUGCACCAUCAUCAAUAAUUUUGGUAAUCUGAUGUAGGUAUUUAUAAAUAACAUUCUUCAAUUGCUUCUCAUAUUUUGUGAAUCACAUUUAAAUUAGUAUUACCAAUAACAGUGGGAGUGGACAGAGUCUUUCAGAUUCUGCAGUGCAUUUUUAAAAUCAGAAUAUAUUUUAAAGGAAUUUUAUUUGUAAAGAGAGGAAGUUUGAUUGAAAAACUAUUGUGAAGCUACUAAAUCCAUAAUGUAUUUUUCAAAGUCACAGUGAUGAUUACACUGGAAUUUACCACAGCUGCUUUAAAUGCUACCAAAAGUAAUUUAAAGAAACAUUUUAUUAUCAAUGGUCACCAGACUUUCACUUUGUAGUUGUUGCAUAGCUAUAUCUGUUUAUAGCUGUAUUAGCUUCACCUGUUCAACAGGUGAGAUAUCUUUUAUUAGAGAUAACAGGACAGGAACAUAAAGUGGCACAGAGGAAAGCAAGUCUUUGUCAGCUGAUGGAGUUCAAAGUCCAUUAAUGCUCUUUUGCAUCUGAUCAGUCACAUGCACACCUUAACAAUUCCAUUGAGGCUCAAUCACUGCUGCAUUAUUUCUGCAACUUAAUCUUAAAAAAAACCCAAACAAAAUCAACCAACCAAACAAACUAGUAAACAAAUCAGUCACUAAGCAAGUAACUUGGUCAUAUUUAAGGAUAUUCCAUAUUUUAAUUGCAUUGUGUGUACAAUCAAAUGAGAACAUAUUUUGAAUUGUGAACUAUUUACUGAUCUUGUACUUUACAGCAAUAGAGAAUAUUCAGUCUUUAAUACUUAGCAAUGAUAUUUAUUGUAUGCAUUUGAAACAUUUUUCAUAAAGACAAAUAUUUUUGGUACUACCUCAUCAGUCAAGUUACACUCUAUUAUUGAUAAUACCAACCUGAUGUAGAAGAAUGAAAAAAUAUAAUUACAUAUCAGUUAUUCAGGAGUCCAAAAAACAAAAAGAGGUUUUAAGGGAACAUUCCUAAGUCUUACAUGUUGACACCAGUGGGAUUAUAUGUGUUGCACUUAAAGGAAUAUUUUGCCUGCUGAUGUUGUUCAACAGUUGGCCAAGUAACAGAACAGAUUCCACUCCCUGCUACAGGGCUGGAAAUAAAAAAAUCCCACAUGGUGGUUUCUCUUUUAUGGUCAUACAGCAGGAUUGUGUUUUUGAGAAGGGGAAAUGCAGCUGAAAGAGCAUCUGUGGAAAUUCCUUCUGCCUGCAGAAAGAGCACUGCAAUUUGGUAUUUGAUAGCUUUCACAGAGUGCAACCUGCAGGCUCCUUUACAGCUCCCAGCACUGAUACAGAUGUAGGACAGUAAUGCUUUGCUCUUGCUUCUCACUGUAUUUGUCAAUAAUUUGUGAGCUUUUCUAUAGCAGCAAAGCCACCAUUUUAAAUGUCACUUGAUCAAGGUUAACUAAAAUGGUCGAAUCAUCUCUGUCCUUGUCUACUCUGAGGGCUAAAUCAUUAACACCUUUUCAAAUAUGAUUGAUUUUCCACUAUUGUUGAGCCUUUUGACUCAUCUCACUGAACUUUUGGCACUCACUACCUUAACCCAGCUGAGAUCUCUGUUCUGUCACUGCACCUCCCAUACAUGAGAGACUUCAUUGCUGAGAGCAAGUGGAACAUGAUUUACAUUUAGGAGAAGUUUAAACUACCAGUGUAAAAUUAAAUAUGAAUAUUGUGUUGUCCUGAAUCAGGAUGAAUUAAAAAAUAUUAUUUAAAUGUUGGUACCUGAAUUUCUCAGCUUGAAGACUGGGUUGCUGUAGUAGGUUACUGUGAUUUGUGAAAGUUAUUUUUUGUCUUAUGACCAAUGUUACUGCAUGGGUGUUUUUUUUUUUUUUUAAUAAUUUCUGAACCAUUUUGACAUUGUUAUGGUUGUAAUUAAGACCAGAUGAAAAUGAAAGAAAGUGGAGAAGGUAAAAAUAGAUAAGAAGGUGAAAAUUAUUGGGAGGACAAGUAAGGAAAUCUCAAGAAGAAACACUUGCUAGUAUCAAGAGUUACAGUAAUACCUAAAAAUGAUAUUUUACCAUUAACAGCCAUGAGUUUGUCUUAAAGACAAACCAUAUAAUGAGAAGAAAAAAUACCAAAUGCUCUUUUAUCUAAUUACUUCAUGUAUCUUAUAAUUCUGAAAUUAAUAAUCUUUGUGAAGGGCAGAGUAAACUAAUUCUAGGUUAGGGGAAGGUUGGGGAUUCAGUGUGUAGAUUAUAUUUUUUAAUGUUUUCUGUUUUCUUAAAACAUAAUAAUCUUUUAUUUGUUUCAGAAAAGUGAGCAAUAUGUUCCCUGGAUUUAUGGUAUGGACAACAUGCCUAAGGAAACAGGGAACAAAAGAAAUCAUUGGUAAAAGCUUUUCUGCCUGCUACUUUGUAAACAUAUUAGUUUUCAGUCCUCAUUUUGGUUUAAUAUACACUACACACUAUGGUAUCGAUGUGUUUAAUUUAUAAUGAAGACUGAUGCUGUUUCAGCAGUACUAUUGCUUGUUCUAUUUCAGAACAUGUAUUAAGCUGUUCAAGGAACAGCAAAAUCUCCAACUGCUACAUUAGCUGGACAUGUCAAAUUAAUGCCUAUUGAAGAUUAUCUUGGGUUUCAGGUAUGGUCUUGAAUGAAAAAUGUCAUUGUGCUGUCAGUCAUCCAGCUAAUUAUCUAGAGGUCAAGCUGACCUCUUGUAUGUAUCUACAUUUUCUCUUAUUCUUUUACAACAUGAGGUGUAGCCCCAUGAAACUGGCUAAUAUAAAUUAGCUUGAGAAAAUAUGCUUACAGUCUAAAAGAAAAUAUAAAUUGUGUAUGCUUUAAAAUAGCAUGGAUCUGUACUGUUGCAUUUCAGAUUUGCCAACUCUUCCAUCAAAUAUGAUUAAAGAGAUUCACUCAAGCCGUA